GCGCCCGUAGCUCAGCUGGAUAGAGCGUUGGCCUCCGGAGCCAAAGGCCGCAGGUUCGAAUCCUGCCGGGCGCACCA
Molecule: transfer RNA, 77 nt
Filed under: Mycobacterium sp.
Lineage: Bacteria; Bacillati; Actinomycetota; Actinomycetes; Mycobacteriales; Mycobacteriaceae
Also listed under: 7 other names
Description: tRNA-Arg
Rfam family: tRNA
About the family: Transfer RNA (tRNA) molecules are approximately 80 nucleotides in length. Their secondary structure includes four short double-helical elements and three loops (D, anti-codon, and T loops).
Source: RNAcentral